Long non-coding RNA from Dreissena polymorpha, 2950 nucleotides. RefSeq lists it as uncharacterized. NCBI's taxonomy places the organism in Eukaryota, Metazoa, Mollusca, Bivalvia, Myida, Dreissenidae. The transcript has 3 exons. The record is from RefSeq and is a predicted model, not a curated record.
AAUCUGGGACGACACUAAACGCACAAGCAUUAUGCCCCGUAUUCUCAGAACGCGUCUCAAUUAAUGUUCCUUGGAUAACGCAGCUGAAAGUAUAGUUCGCCUAUAGCUUAUUAAAAGUUAAAACUUUGAAUUUAAUUUAAAAUUAAGGAUAUUUAUGAGGAAAAUGAAGGCAUUUGCACGGUGGCAUAGAGGUGACAUUCGCUUCUCUUUUUUUAAAUUGCUCUCCUCUUUUAUCUAUCUCGUGGCCACGGGUUAGCUAUGUCGUGGCCAAGAGAUAGAAAAAAGAGGAGUGCAAAACUAAAUAAAAGCGGUGUGCAAUUAAAAAAGAGCGGUGCAGUAAAUAAAGGCAGAGUGCAUUAAACAAAAGAGGAGAGAAUUUUCGCUAUCUCGAGAUCCCGAGUUAGUCAGCCAAUCAAAUUUUGCGAAACAUGUGUAAAUAUUCUGUGCGCAUAUAUAUAGCUGGUCAAAGCAGGCAAGGUUCUGAUAUAACAUAACAUACUACUAUUAGUACAACUAAUGGACUCUCCCAUCCUUCUAAAUUGGAUCAAUUUAUUUCCAAAAUUAGGGAUGUCUAGUAUAUUUAUUUCUAUGUUUAGAAUAUUUCUUACAGAAGAUCCUUUAAGCAAACAGCGCAGACCCUGAUGAGACGCCGCAUCAUGCGGCGUCUCAUCUGGGUCUACGCUGUUGACAAGGGCUUUUUUCUAUACGCGAAGCAUAAGUGGGUAAAUCACACUUAUUGUAUCAAAUAGUCCCAUCAUUCGCAUUCGGUUACUUCCAAAAUGCUCUUAUUUAUGGCUUUGUCCCAAGUCCCUCAACUCUGUAAUGACAAAUCAUAUGUGACUUCAGGUGACUCUUCUGACUGAACCAUUUGUAGCACACCCUGCAUUCAAACGGCUGCUCCCCCGUGUGAACCCGGAUGUGGGUCUCCAACUUGUAGCGAUUCGGGACAUCCUUACCGCAAAAUGAGCACACUGAAAUAAAAAAUGUAUUAUACAAUCAAUUUAUUACAUUGGAAAACAGACAGAACCGAAUGAAAUAUAUACAUUCAAUAAGGUUAAAUUUAAUACAAUGGCACACUAUGAAAUUCUCAGAAAAUCCAAGAAAUAACAAGAGAUUGCCAAGCAAUAUGGUCCCCUACCGGACACUCCACCAUUGUCAGUAAACAAUAUUAUGUUUACAUUUGUUGCCAUAGCAACCACAAUUUUUGACGUAGGAACAAAAUGAAUUGACGUGCAUAAUUUCCAUAUUGCCAUCUGUCCAUGUUUCAAGUUUUAUGAAAAAAUAUGAAGAACUUUUGAAGUUAUCGCAGGAUCCGGAAAAGUGUGACAGACGGACUGACACACGUAGCGCAAACCAUAAGUCCUCCGGUAGGGGACAAUUACACACGCGUCAUUUUGACAGACACUUGAAGAUGCACCUUUCGUAUAUAUAAUUGCCGAAAUGGGUCUAAUACAACAUGUGUCUUGUUGCUAACAAAUUAUACUUUACUAUUUGGUAAUAAUACACGUGUAUAACUGUCAGAAUAUCCACAUUCGUCUGCUACAAUUUUGGCAUUUGAAGCAGUGAAUGAAUCAAUAAAUUAAGAUGCGUGCUUUGCGUUACCAACGCGUGUACGCGCCUAUAUGGGCCUCUGCGUGCAUUUUACCCCAGUCAAGAACACAUCUGUCUCACAACGUUUUCCUUGCUCUGACGAUUUUAUGACGAUUGUAUUGUGUAUGUUUUGUGGUUGGCUAAUCAUUUUUUCGGAAAAAAACUUAAUCCAGUCUGAAAACAACAGUAUUUUUAACUCACAACAUUAAACAUAGGCGCCUCGUUCUGGAAAAACUGGGCUUAAUGCAUGUGCGUAAAGUGUCGUUCCGUAUUAGCCUUGCAGUCCGCAAAUGCUUAUCAUGGACAACAGUUUUUGCCUAAACUGGACUUUCGUCAACAGACUUCCUUUACACUUAAAAUCCCACACAAGCAGAAAGUGUCUACCAUGAUUAGUCUGUGCGCACAUGCAUUAGGCCGUGUUUUCGCAAAACGCGGCUCACAUUUGUAGUCACUGUCUUCUGCCACGCAUUCACAUAAGAUUGUCUAGAUUAGACGUUAUAUGGGUGACGCAGUGUCGUUUCAGGUGAUCCUUUCUCUGGAAGCUCCUGUUGCACACCUCGCAGACGUACUGACGUUCGUGUGUAUGCGUGAGCAGGUGACGCUUAAGUACAGCCUUAGGUCGAACACUCUUGUAGCAGAUAUGGUACACUGAAACGAUGAAAGCGAGGUUAACCCAUGUAUGCCUAGUGGACUCUCCCAUCCUUUGAUCCUGAGACCUCCAACCCACGAACCAAAAGUCUCAAACAGCGAGUCAGUGGCAGCAAUAUUGUCCAAUGUUGUCCAUGGGUAACAGAAGUUUAAGGAGACUGCGAGUAGGCUUAAGCACAAUGAAAGGGGGUAAACACAGAAAAUUCUGCUCGCCUGAAGUCUGCUGUCCACAAUGCUCUGGUGAUGGUCAGCAUUGAAGGACCAGACAAUGAGGCAGUGGACUUAGUUAUUUUAUAAUAUAAAAUAUGACUUUAGUAUAAUAAAUUGAGGAAAAGUAAAUAAACAAUAAAAUAAAUUUUAAUGCUUUCAUAGCUCUAAAUUAGUGUGUAUUUUAUAUAGGAACAUGUAGAAAAAAGUGGUUAAAUAGCUCCUAAGUAUAGUGUUUUGUGAUUAAGAAAAUGUAGAGAAAAAAAGAAAGCUUAAUGGGCAACCUUUUGAAUCAACCCCCAUUCCGCCAUGUCUUGCCGCUGUGCUUGACCAAAAUCCUGGGGAAAUGCUUGCAUACAUGACUUCUGUAUAUACAAUUAUUUAGAAUGAUGAUAUUUCUGACUUUCAAGAAAUACUGUAUUUCACAUAUCAUCCAUGUAGGCCUACAUGACUUUUGUAUAUCAAUCUGUAUUUAUGAUUUAAAUGAAAUUUCAUACCUACCAUA